GAUAAUGUAAAUCAAGAUAGAAGCUGAAUGAAUGAUGGUUGACAAUGGUCUUUGAGAAACAGCUGUAGAAAGGUUUUUGGAGAAUCAGUUCUGGAACUCGUGUAGACUACGAUGAACAGUUACAGUUGCCAGAUUUGCAGCGACGACGAACAAUGAUACGAGAAGGUGGAACGAUGUAGAACUCGAAGGGAAAUGAAUGAAUGAAUUGAUCUAGGGGUGUUUGUGUAAUAGACACAAGAGAUAAUUUUUUUUAUUAGAAAUUGAUCUAGGGUGUUUGUGUAAUACGCACAAGAGAGAGAAUUGAUCUACGGGUGUUUAUGUAAUAGACACGAGAUUAUUUUUUUAUUUUUUUAAACUGACCUACGAGAGAGAAAUUGACAGGGGUGUUUAUGUAAUACGCACAAUUAGACUGGCCAUUUUACUGAAAGGGUAAAGAGGUAAAAGGACGAAAUGGGUUGAAAUUUUGACCGUUGCAAAAAGACAAAAUAGUGCCACGUGUCGCAUGUAUAUUGGGUCGUUUUUUGAGUCGGACCAUACGAAUCGGUCCGGAGCACGACCAUACAUCUAGUCAUGAAGAAUAAGUGAAAAAAUUGACAAAUUCUAUGGUACACUCAAAAAUUUGAGUGUAUUGGUACACCCAAUCAACAAAUUAAUAGUUAA
Molecule: long non-coding RNA, 660 nt
Filed under: Medicago truncatula (barrel medic)
Lineage: Eukaryota; Viridiplantae; Streptophyta; Magnoliopsida; Fabales; Fabaceae
Description: long non-coding RNA (MTRU_LNC006951)
Source: RNAcentral